CAUUUGCUACGGUGGAGAGUUUUGGAUUUGAUUUGCGUCAGCUGGAUUUGAUUUCCGACAGUUGGGUGAUCGGGUAGCCGAAACAGAGAUCCGACAACUGUAUAUUUAACAGCUGAUCGCAGUCACUACUAUUCCAUAAACCAUAUUCCAAAAUCAUCCAUUCUUCUGUCAGUAACGGAUCUCCUCCUUCAACAGAGUUACUCCACCACGUUCAAAGGAUGACUACAGUUACAACCUGAUCAGAUAGAAUAUGUCCUGGACCAAAACCGUCCUCCAGGAGAGCUCAUAGUGAAAGAGGAUGAUAUCUGCUCAACCUGUGAAGACUUUAGGAUCCUGAAUAUGACACAAUGGAUGGAAUACACAGAGAAAAAUGUCUACAUUGAUGACCUCUACUGCCUUUAUGACCACCUGGAAGGAUCUCAAAGAUGACCUACUGCGCUCCUUGCUGGAAACCUUCAGGUCAGAGGUCAUGCUGAUGUUUCCACUUAGAGCAGACAGACAGGUCCAGCUGAUCUCUACCUGCUUUGUUACCAGGAGAAUGGCAUCUUUGACCUUCAGCUCUUUUCUCAGCAGAUGUCAGACAGCUGCUGCAGCAUUUCAUGCUGAUCUCUCUGCAUCAGCACCUGCUCUGAAAUGAGAUUCAGUGAAGAAAGUUUCCUCAGAAAAACACCAGUUUCAGUCUUCAGAUUCUAUUUUCUGGUCCUUAAAGCUGUUUAGACUUCAUCACAUCAGUCUCAUCCACAAUCACCGCUCUAGUUCAGACUCAUGUCGGCUGGUUUUGCUUGUGACUGUCCACAAAACCUGCGAUGAACUUCUGAGAGGUGUUUAUGCUUUUCUAGUGAUGGGAUCGUCUCCAGCGUUUAUUUUUAACCUGAAGAACAUCUUCCUCACAGUCUUACUGCGUUUGUGAACAUGCAGACACAUGAAAGGUGGAGGAGGACGUGAUGCGCUCCUCCACUAGCAGGAUAUAAAAUACAUGAAAUAUCUUUCCAGUAACUUGUUUUUCUAUCUAGUUGUCCGCUCUCUCGGCUUCUCUGUGUCUGAAGGUCUGAAUUUCUAAACUACUGUCUGGUAGUUUCUAAACAUUCCAAAUCUCCAUUAAUGCUGAUGCUGGCAGGUGUUUUAUUGUGGAGGUCAGUGAUUUAUUCUUCAUUUUCUUUAAGGUGUUGCUGUAACUGAAUCAGUCAUUGCUAUCAUACAAAACUCCAUCAGAGCAGAAGGAGUGAAGUCAUUGUUUCCUUAAUCUUUAGGAUUUUCAUGAGAACCAAACAGUCUGGAGUCUUUUCUCAUCUCUGAAUCAUUUUCAUGUUUCACAGGAAGUGUCGACAACAGGAAGAGAGGAGCAGUGACGACAUUGGAUUCAGAGGAGACCCCCCCCACUACUGCUGUCACUUUUGCCUGAAUAAACUGUUAAUAAUUUAUUUCCUGCAUUUUUAUUGAACAUUUCAUAAUCCACUGUAACAUAACUCUAGCAGAUGAUUAUGACAUAACAUGACCAAAAACAGGAACCAAAGAUAUGAUCCAAGGAAACUAACAGCUCAGUCACUUUUGUCUCCUCCCUUCAGAGGUCGCCUCAGCCAAUCACCAUCAGCGCUUCACACAGGUGGUUUUUACACCUGUGUUAUACUGACAUGGAACACCAGAUGUUCUAAAGUUUAUUCAUUUGAACUACUAAAAAUGUUUAGUUCAACAUGAAAUUAGCAAAAAAGAAAACAAAGAAAAACUACAGAGCCUUCUAUUAAUCACAAACUUAAAAGAAUGGAGAGAAAAAAGUUUCACCAAUUGUUCAAAUCAUUAUUUAUGAAUAUGUUUCAGUCUUUGAAAGGCUUGAAAUUCUCAGUUAUUAGAUUAAUUAUAUGUUUUAAUUCCACAGAGGAAAUGGUCAAAUGUUUGUCAUUUGUAUAUUUACAUUUAUCAAUACAAUAUUUGGCCAAAAUAA
Molecule: long non-coding RNA, 1939 nt
Organism: Oryzias melastigma (Indian medaka)
Lineage: Eukaryota; Metazoa; Chordata; Actinopteri; Beloniformes; Adrianichthyidae
Exons: 7
Source: RefSeq, a predicted model, not a curated record